GCCCCCAUCGUCUAGAGGUCUAGGACGCCGCCCUCUCACGGCGGUAACGCCGGUUCGAAUCCGACUGGGGGUA
Molecule: transfer RNA, 73 nt
Filed under: Nanchangia anserum
Lineage: Bacteria; Bacillati; Actinomycetota; Actinomycetes; Actinomycetales; Actinomycetaceae
Rfam family: tRNA
About the family: Transfer RNA (tRNA) molecules are approximately 80 nucleotides in length. Their secondary structure includes four short double-helical elements and three loops (D, anti-codon, and T loops). Further hydrogen bonds mediate the characteristic L-shaped molecular structure. tRNAs have two regions of fundamental functional importance: the anti-codon, which is responsible for specific mRNA codon recognition, and the 3' end, to which the tRNAs corresponding amino acid is attached (by aminoacyl-tRNA synthetases). tRNAs cope with the degeneracy of the genetic code in two manners: having more than one tRNA (with a specific anti-codon) for a particular amino acid; and 'wobble' base-pairing, i.e. permitting non-standard base-pairing at the 3rd anti-codon position.
Source: Rfam by way of RNAcentral